CAUUGUACAUAUAAAACACUUACACUGGAAAAUUCAGCUUCAGAUGUACCAGAGUUCAAUUAGCUUAAUCUUAUCAACUUUGAGCUGCAAAGAACAAUCACAAAUCAUGUCAUUACAAUAUAUAACCACAUGCCAUGUGUUUGUAUUGAGAUUAUUACAAAUGUACCUUGUGUUUCUUUGCACAUAAAUAAAAAGCAACAACCAUAAACACCGGACUUUGUAUCAUAUUCCAAAUCAAUUUUAAAUGUUGUUUGUUUCGCAUAAUGAUGACAGAAAAAAAAUCUUGGCCAAUGUUUUUCAUCAAUAGCCAGAAAGAAUCAUGUAUACAUGAAAGCUAAGCAUGAAAUAAUGGUUUUAUCUAACAUACACAAAUAAAAUAGUUUUGCAGGAUGCAUAAGUAUAUUUUUCACCAUUGAAUUAAUAAGUCUAAUCUUAUCUCAUUUCAUUCGAUGGCAAAAUUUAUUGGCAAGACUUAUCUCACAUAAA
RNAcentral lists this long non-coding RNA (486 nucleotides) under Trifolium pratense (red clover). RNAcentral's name for it is "long non-coding RNA (TPRA_LNC011462)". Lineage: Eukaryota; Viridiplantae; Streptophyta; Magnoliopsida; Fabales; Fabaceae. The record is from RNAcentral.